Molecule: ribosomal RNA, 497 nt
Filed under: uncultured bacterium
Lineage: Bacteria
Description: partial 16S ribosomal RNA
Rfam family: Bacterial small subunit ribosomal RNA
Source: RNAcentral
GAUGAACGCUGGCGGCGUGCCUAAUACAUGCAUGUCGAGCGAACGGACGAGAAGCUUGCUUUUCUGAUGUUAGCGGCGGACGGGUGAGUAACACGUGGAUAACCUACCUAUAAGACUGGGAUAACUUCGGGAAACCGGAGCUAAUACCGGAUAAUAUUUUGAACCGCAUGGUUCAAAAGUGAAAGACGGUCUUGCUGUCACUUAUAGAUGGAUCCGCGCUGCAUUAGCUAGUUGGUAAGGUAACGGCUUACCAAGGCAACGAUGCAUAGCCGACCUGAGAGGGUGAUAGGCCACACUGGAACUGAGACACGGUCCAGACUCCUACGGGAGGCAGCAGUAGGGAAUCUUCCGCAAUGGGCGAAAGCCUGACGGAGCAACGCCGCGUGAGUGAUGAAGGUCUUCGGAUCGUAAAACUCUGUUAUUAGGGAAGAACAUAUGUGUAAGUAACUGUGCACAUCUUGACGGUACCUAAUCAGAAAGCCACGGCUAACUACGUG